Long non-coding RNA from Pogona vitticeps (central bearded dragon), 2356 nucleotides. The record is from Ensembl. Lineage: Eukaryota; Metazoa; Chordata; Lepidosauria; Squamata; Agamidae.
UUGCCUCAAAUAUUGUAACUUCAUUGGUGUGUGUGUGUGUGUGUGUGUGCACAUGCAAUGUAUAAAAUCUAUAUGGAAACCUCUGCCUCAGAUGACUUCAGGGCAGGCUGAAGAUGUGGUUGGUUUAAUAUUUGCCAGAUUUAAGGGUCAAAUUAUGAUUAAUUCUGGAAGAACCUUAAUCUUCCCCACUGAAGAGGGAAAUGUACACCUAUGUACAUAUUUAUAUACAUAUGUUUAUAUAUACUGUAUGUUUGUACAUUUGUAAGAGUGACCGUCAAACACAAAGCCUUUAAGCAAAAAAAUGUAGCUUCGGCUGUGCUUACAGUGUGUGUGUGUGUGUGUGUGUGUGUGUGUGUGUGUGUGUACAUGUUACAUAAUUAUGUGUGUUUAUAUAAUUAUAUACAUACACUCUGUGUGUGUGUACAUGUUACACAAUUAUAUGUGUGUUUAUAUAAUUAUAUACAUACAUAUUGUAAUACAUACAUGUUGUAAUAUAUUUCUUUGCAAUACAUAAUGGUGCUAUUGAUUAGUCCAGAUAGGCGGGACGUACAUAUUGUAAUUUUUUUUGUAAUACAUAACGGUGCUAUUGAUUAUUCGAUUAUAUAAUAUUGUCAUGCAGUUGGACUGUAUAAAAUAGUUAUCACAAAGCCUGUAAGAAGCCACCCUUAUAAAUACAAUUAUCAGACAUCUAAAAAAAAACUUCCGGGAGGGGGGGAAGGUUCCACCAGGUGACGUCAUACAAAAAAAACGCACUUCGAGGCCACGUGACGCCUCCUCCUCCCCCUCCCGCCCAAAGUCACGUGCCCGCCUCCUCCCGCCCGAAGGUUCCAAGCCCUACGCCUUCCGCCAAGAUGGCGGCCGUUGCCCGGCCUUGUUCCAGCUACAAAAAUGGCGGACUCCGCCUCCGCCUCUUAUGUUUCCGCCCCUGGCUACUGUCUCUCUUCCCCCGUGGCUUCACUUCCGUUUCCGGUUGCAGGGAGCGGCGGGAGGGGGGAGUGCACCGGAUUGGAAAAUGGCAAGGCGGCGAAGCCGGUGCGGGGCGAAGGCGGGAAUGUGAGGCCGGGCCGGGCCGUGGGACGCUGGGCUUGGAGGAGCAAUGGCCGGAGAGCUUUAGUUGAGAUAUUCCUCUCUCCAGAGAUGCUGCCAUGUAAGAAGAGAAGAGCGACGCUGACGGACCCCGAGAAGGAGGAGCUGGGUCUCCCUUCCGACGUCCAGUCCGUUCAAAUGGAGGCUUCCCUCUCAGGUGGGACUAGCCCGCUCGGCAGCUCCGGGCCACACAAGGAAGGGCAGGAAGAUACCAUUUUGAGCGAUAGGAAGGGCCUGCCUAGUCCUCCCGCCGGAAGCCUCCCCUGUUUGUCCCCUGCUCCUGCAGGAGACCAGUCUUCAUUUGAGGAUGAAACAGCGGUGCAGGCUGUUGUUCUGUCGGGAGAGACUUCCCAGAAGGGCUGCUUGGAAGGAUCGGAGCCCUCUUUGAGAAAUGUGAAGCUCUUCCUUAAAGAAGGGGCAGAUCUCUGCUCCCAGGCUCCGGAAGACCGUCAAGACUGCAAGAGUUCUCCAUCCUCAGAGUUCCCUGUGGAUAAGAAGGAAGAGAAACUAGACUGGAAAGGUAAGCCAGGGGCAGGUGCACCUGUGGGAAGAAGUGGGGAGGGAGAAGUGGCUUUGGUUCCUUAUCUCAGCUUUUCAGGUGUCGGAUUACAAGGUCUAUCAUCCCCAGCCAGCCUAGUGGCGAUCGGGGAUCAUGAGAGUUGUGGGCCAACAACAUCGGGGGAUCUUGAGACUGGAAAACGCACCUGAACAACAGCUUGUCCAUCAUCCUUCAUGGUAUUUAAAUGAAAAAGUAAGCCAAAAAUUUCAUGAUCCAGUUUGAGGCCAUACUUGGAAGGGAGCCGAUGGGUGCAAUCAUACCCUAAAUCUCCCGUAUCUCCCUAUAUAAACCUUCAUGGAGUUUAAGAUCAUUCAGAGGAGGCCUUCCUCUUGGCCCCAUUGCCGGUGCAGUCAUAGCUGAUGGGGGACACAGGAGAGGGCCUUCUCUGUGUCAGCUCCCACGUUACGGAAGGCUCUCUCUCCUGAGGUCAGGCUGGCCAUUGUCCUGUCCUUCCGCCGACAGCUGGAGACCCACUUUUUUAGCCAGACUUUUAACAAUCAUGCCUUUUAAAAGUUCAAACCGUUUUUAACGUUUACUUCCUUUGGAAUGAUUCACUUGUCUUUUGAUUAGCCUAUCGUUUAAUUGCCGUUUUAAUGUUUAACUUGUUAUGCUUUUAAUCCUUUUCGAUAUGGGAAGCCGCCUUGGGGCCCUUGAUCCGGAGAAAGUUGGCCUAAAAAUAAAGUAGAUGGUAAAUAAAUAAAAUAAAUUUGU